This 254-nucleotide ribosomal RNA is filed under the name uncultured bacterium. RNAcentral describes it as "partial 16S ribosomal RNA". It matches the Rfam family "Bacterial small subunit ribosomal RNA", at positions 524 to 776 of the family's 1533-position model. The record is from RNAcentral.
UACAGAGGGUGCAAGCGUUAAUCGGAAUUACUGGGCGUAAAGCGUGCGUAGACGGUUACAUAAGUCGGGUGUGAAAGCCCCGGGCUCAACCUGGGAAUUGCAUUCGAGACUGCGUAGCUAGGGUGCGGAAGAGGGAAGCGGAAUUUCCGGUGUAGCGGUGAAAUGCGUAGAUAUCGGAAGGAACACCAGUGGCGAAAAGCGGCUUCCUGGUCCAGCACCGACGUUCAGGCACGAAAGCGUGGGGAGCAAACAGG